RNAcentral lists this ribosomal RNA (465 nucleotides) under Vreelandella stevensii. Its description in RNAcentral is "partial 16S ribosomal RNA". It matches the Rfam family "Bacterial small subunit ribosomal RNA", at positions 338 to 795 of the family's 1533-position model. Lineage: Bacteria; Pseudomonadati; Pseudomonadota; Gammaproteobacteria; Oceanospirillales; Halomonadaceae. The record is from RNAcentral.
CCUACGGGUGGCAGCAGUGGGGAAUAUUGGACAAUGGGCGAAAGCCUGAUCCAGCCAUGCCGCGUGUGUAAAGAAGGCCUUCGGGUUGUAAAGCACUUUCAGUGGGGAAGAAAGCCUUGGGGCUAAUACCCUCGAGGAAGGACAUCACCCACAGAAGAAGCACCGGCUAACUCCGUGCCAGCAGCCGCGGUAAUACGGAGGGUGCGAGCGUUAAUCGGAAUUACUGGGCGUAAAGCGCGCGUAGGCGGUCUGAUAAGCCGGUUGUGAAAGCCCCGGGCUCAACCUGGGAACGGCAUCCGGAACUGUCAGGCUAGAGUGCAGGAGAGGAAGGUAGAAUUCCCGGUGUAGCGGUGAAAUGCGUAGAGAUCGGGAGGAAUACCAGUGGCGAAGGCGGCCUUCUGGACUGACACUGACGCUGAGGUGCGAAAGCGUGGGUAGCAAACAGGAUUAGAUACCCUAGUAGUC